Molecule: long non-coding RNA, 751 nt
Organism: Diabrotica virgifera virgifera (western corn rootworm)
Lineage: Eukaryota; Metazoa; Arthropoda; Insecta; Coleoptera; Chrysomelidae
Exons: 2
Source: RefSeq, a predicted model, not a curated record
UAAAUAACAAUGUGACGACUUGAAAUAUCACAAUCGAUAAAAUUUCCCUCCUCCAUCCAAAAAUCUGUUGUAUUUAAAUUUUUGUCCUGCGCAGAUAAAUUAAUUCGAUUUUCUGGCAGAAUAAUUACACUGUCAUUAAAUACUAAACUUUUUUGCAUCAAGGUGUGAAGCCGAGUUCCUUCUGCAAACCUUAAUUGAAGGAAAGAUCGAAGGAAGAAGCGGAUUGGGCAGGAAGAAAAUGUCAUGGCUCCGUAAUGUCAAACAAUGGACAGGACUAAGAAACAUAGGAGACCUAAUACAAACUUCAAGGGAUCGAGAAAAAUGGUCAGACGUGAUGGCGAACAUCCAUUAGUGGAUUUCAUAAGAAGAAGAAGAAGAAGAAGUUCUUAAAAAUUUCAAUAUAAUUUCACAAUCAAGCACAAACACGCCCUAACCACGGCGGCACACGGUUACAGGGCCUUUUGGUGAGCCUUCGGGCCGCAUUAAAAACGCUAGAGGGCCGCAGGUUGCGUAUCACUGGGCUAUAGGGCUUAGUGAAUCCCUUAUAUUAUUCGUGUGUAUUAUUAUUUGUGGUGUAAUAAAAUGGUAACUCCUCUGUGUCUAUCCCCUCCAAUCUUUUCGGAUUCGAAUGGUGCUUUUUCAAAAUUUCUUAGUGUUAAUUCAAUCAAAUAAAAUUAAUUGGUUUAUUAUUAAAUGUUUAAUUAUUAUCUCUUAUAAACAAGAUAUUAAUAAACAAGAUUAUUUUAAAGUC